UAUGGAGAGUUUGAUCCUGGCUCAGGAUGAACGCUGGCGUCGUGCCUAAUACAUGCAAGUCGAGCGAACUGAAGAGCAGCUUGCUCCUUUGACGUUAGCGGCAGACGGGUGAGUAACACGUGGGUAACCUACCUAUAAGACUGGAAUAACUCCGGGAAACCGGGGCUAAUGCCGGAUAAUAUGUUGAACCGCAUGGUUCAACAGUGAAAGACG
RNAcentral lists this ribosomal RNA (213 nucleotides) under Staphylococcus felis. RNAcentral's name for it is "partial 16S ribosomal RNA". It matches the Rfam family "Bacterial small subunit ribosomal RNA", at positions 1 to 209 of the family's 1533-position model. Lineage: Bacteria; Bacillati; Bacillota; Bacilli; Caryophanales; Staphylococcaceae. The record is from RNAcentral.